Molecule: ribosomal RNA, 311 nt
Filed under: Bacillus pseudomycoides
Lineage: Bacteria; Bacillati; Bacillota; Bacilli; Caryophanales; Bacillaceae
Description: bacterial LSU rRNA
Rfam family: Bacterial large subunit ribosomal RNA
Source: RNAcentral
ACUACCGUUGAAAAGUUAGCGGAUGACCUGUGGAUCGGAGUGAAAGGCUAAUCAAGCUCGGAGAUAGCUGGUUCUCCUCGAAAGCUAUUUAGGUAGCGCCUCAUGUAUCACUGUAGGGGGUAGAGCACUGUUUCGGCUAGGGGGUCAUCCCGACUUACCAAACCGAUGCAAACUCCGAAUACCUACAAGUGCCGAGCAUGGGAGACACACGGCGGGUGCUAACGUCCGUCGUGAAAAGGGAAACAACCCAGACCGUCAGCCAAGGUCCCAAAGUUAUGGUUAAGUGGGAAACGAUGUGGGAAGGCUUAGAC